Molecule: ribosomal RNA, 449 nt
Filed under: Fejervarya cancrivora (crab-eating frog)
Lineage: Eukaryota; Metazoa; Chordata; Amphibia; Anura; Dicroglossidae
Description: partial large subunit ribosomal RNA
Rfam family: Bacterial large subunit ribosomal RNA
Source: RNAcentral
GGACUAGCAUGAACGGCAUCACGAGGGCCUUACUGUCUCCUUUCUCCAAUCAGUGAAACUGAUCUCCCCGUGAAGAAGCGGGGAUUAUACUAUAAGACGAGAAGACCCCAUGGAGCUUUAAACCCAACAGACAACCCUUAGCCCCUCACCCCCCAAAACUUUUAGGCCCUGUCUGCUGGUUUUAGGUUGGGGUGACCGCGGAGUAAAACUUAUCCUCCACAAUGUAUGGGACUCCUCCCCUUAUCCACGAGCCACUGCUCUAAGAAUCAACAAAUUGACAACAAAUGAUCCAAUUUUCUGAUCAAUGAACCAAGUUACCCUGGGGAUAACAGCGCAAUCCAUUUUAAGAGCCCUUAUCGACAAAUGGGUUUACGACCUCGAUGUUGGAUCAGGGUACCCAAGUGGUGCAGCCGCUACUAACGGUUUGUUUGUUCAACAAUUAAAACCCU